GGAGAUAGGAGGUUAAAAAUUAUUGAAGGUGGUGUUUUACUGCCAAUUGAAGAUCAAUUUCAUCUGUUAUAUGGUUUAAUGGUAGGAACAAAAUACCUUUGCAUGCACUGUCUACCAUAUUGA
Amphimedon queenslandica is the source of this 123-nucleotide long non-coding RNA. RefSeq lists it as uncharacterized. The record is from RefSeq and is a predicted model, not a curated record. Lineage: Eukaryota; Metazoa; Porifera; Demospongiae; Haplosclerida; Niphatidae. The transcript is spliced from 2 exons.